Molecule: long non-coding RNA, 2107 nt
Organism: Mesocricetus auratus (golden hamster)
Lineage: Eukaryota; Metazoa; Chordata; Mammalia; Rodentia; Cricetidae
Exons: 3
Source: RefSeq, a predicted model, not a curated record
GCGGAGGAAGGCGACAGCAGCCCAAAGCGUGAAGGAUAGCCCCUGGCAACAAGGAAUUACCCAGCCCCAGCGCCAGUGGCGCCCACGCCGAGUAGCUGGGACGCUGCAUUUCCCACUAGACAGCAAGCAAAGUCCUAAGAAGUUCUCUCUGCUCAACCUAGACCCCAACCAAGGUGACAGACAUUUCCACGUCAGAAGCCUGAGCCCCGUGUCGGUGACCUCCAUCUUGCUUCAUAACAUGCUGUUAAGGAGGGAAUCAAGAUCUGAGAAAAGGGAUUCCUGCCUUGUUUGGCAGCUUUGAGCCAAGAAGAGCCGCUGAGACAAGUUCGGUGACUUCCUCGGGCCCUGCCAAGAGACAAGCUUUCAGCUGAGCCCCGGAAGCCAGAAGGAACCGCACUAUGUGUCCUCUGUAAACGGUUCCCAAGACUCUCGGAUGCGGCCCACUGGGCCUCUGCUUGACUUUGGCCACCUCGUUUGUCUGAUGACCCCUGUGUCCUGGGCGAGCAUCCGUGGCUCCCCGCGUUCUGGAGACACCCUGCUGAGGAGACAGGCGUUUCAGACCCAAGAUUCAGGAUGUACAGCUUUCGCUGGGAGGCAAGAGGCCCAGGCAGAGUGUGGUCAGUGUUGGAGCCGAACCCUUUGCCCUGGCCCGCAAGAGACCCCGGAAAAGAAGCAAGUAUAUCCCAUGGGGCAUAGCACCAUGUGCCUGCAAUCCCAACGCUGGAGGCAGGAGCAUCAGAAGCACAGGGUCGUUUUUUACUACAUAGCGUCUAAAGCAGCCUGGGCUACAUGAGACCCGGCCUAAAACAGACACACAAGCCAAGAACUCACCUAGCCUAUUUUUACCGGCUGUGCUUGGGCAGCCCAAGGGGUUCCAGGCGCUGAGUCAGCAGUGCUGUGUUCACACAUUCACUCCUCGGCUGCUGUGCAGGCUGUGGGCCCAAAGCUUCUGGCUUUCUUUAAAGAGAGAGAAGGAAAGAAUUAUAGUCCCAAUAGGAUGGCUUGCCACGCCUUCUCUCUCAGGGCCCUUCCAGACACCAGAUGCACCAUAGAGGUGACGACCUGGGUCCUUGUUGCCAAUGCCCCUGGAUUGGUGUGGACAACAAUGCUCUCAAAUGCUCCGCUGCCAUCUGCAUAAGGGCUCAAGCAGCCAGACAGCCACCCCUGCUGGCAACACUAAGGACCUCAUAUUUGCCAUUUCACGUCUUCUGCAAAGUUUUGGUGUCCUUAUGUUGCUGAAGAUCAAGGCCAGGGAGCAAUGCAAGGGUUCUACCACCCCUGUGUCUGUCCUUAAAUGCCCUCUCUGCAUGGCUUUGGGUGACUUCAGGGUAGCUCUGUGGCUGAAUUUCUCCCACACUCAGACUGCUGCAUUCCUGGAUCUUUUCCUCAUGCCCGAAUUCUGAGCAUCAUGUGCUAGGAUUCAUGCAGGUUGGUUGAUCUCCUUAAUGUCUGGUGGUCUCCACUUCCCCAUGCUCACUUGUGAGCUCACACCCACGCUUUGAAUGGUAUCUACAUAUUCGUAACUGCUGAAUACAGAAUUCUAAACCCGUUGUGCAGGCGUUGGUGGUGCACACCUUUAAUUCCAGCACUCGGGAGGCAGAGGCAGGUGGAUCUCUGUGAGUUCGAGACCAGCCUGGUCUACCGAGUGAGUUCCAGGACACGGUCCAAAACAAUACAGAGAAACCCUGUCUCGAAAAACGAGAGAGAGAGAAAAAAAAAGAACUUCCUUAAAGGGAUGAAAACUGUAUAGAUAAACAGAACUACAUUAAUCUAAACCCGUUGUGUUGACACCUGCCCUCCUGCUGUUACCCACAAACCUCCUCAAUAUUCUCCCUCUUACUGAGUGCCAACCGAAGCUUCCCAGAUGCUCAGGCCAUGAUAUAGAGCUGUCCUUGACAACUGUCUCCCUCAUAUCCCGCAUCGGCAGAUCAAAAUGUACGCUGUAGAAUUAGACUCCUGCUGAAUCUGCCACAUGAAACAAUUCUAAGAGGCUGUUUUGACGUGGGGCAUAUUGGGGAUGGUACCUCUGGAAGCUCCAAGUCUGCUCAUCAUUGUCACUGGUCUUAAUUUGCUAUCUCCAUCUUUUAAAUUAAAUUGUUUGUUUCUA